UGGCAGAGUAAGUGCAUAAUAUUUAGAAUAUUAAUAUAGAUACU
Molecule: transfer RNA, 44 nt
Filed under: Gnathostomula paradoxa
Lineage: Eukaryota; Metazoa; Gnathostomulida; Bursovaginoidea; Gnathostomulidae
Description: tRNA-Leu
Source: RNAcentral